RNAcentral lists this small nucleolar RNA (138 nucleotides) under Ornithorhynchus anatinus (platypus). The record is from RNAcentral. Lineage: Eukaryota; Metazoa; Chordata; Mammalia; Monotremata; Ornithorhynchidae.
CCCCUCUCAGGGUCGCUUCUGGAGAGUUUCCAAUACUCUACUAGUCUCGGCUAUGGGAGGGAGAGUCAAGCAGAGACUUACCCAUUCCAUUCCUAGCUGGGGCAGUGGCUAGCGAGUGGAAGGCAAUCUGCUACAAGU